Molecule: ribosomal RNA, 301 nt
Filed under: uncultured bacterium
Lineage: Bacteria
Description: partial 16S ribosomal RNA
Rfam family: Bacterial small subunit ribosomal RNA
Source: RNAcentral
CAGCAGCCGCGGUAAUACGGAGGGUGCAAGCGUUAAUCGGAAUUACUGGGCGUAAAGCGUGCGUAGGUGGUGGUUUAAGUCCGUUGUGAAAGCCCUGGGCUCAACCUGGGAAUUGCAGUGGAUACUGGGUCACUAGAGUGUGGUAGAGGAUAGUGGAAUUUCCGGUGUAGCAGUGAAAUGCGUAGAGAUCGGAAGGAACAUCUGUGGCGAAGGCGACUAUCUGGACCAACACUGACACUGAGGCACGAAAGCGUGGGGAGCAAACAGGAUUAGAUACCCCAGUAGUCCCUGUCUCUUAUAC